AAAUUGAAGAGUUUGAUCAUGGCUCAGAUUGAACGCUGGCGGCAGGCCUAACACAUGCAAGUCGAACGGUAACAGGAAGCAGCUUGCUGCUUCGCUGACGAGUGGCGGACGGGUGAGUAAUGUCUGGGAAACUGCCUGAUGGAGGGGGAUAACUACUGGAAACGGUAGCUAAUACCGCAUAACGUCGCAAGACCAAAGAGGGGGACCUUAGGGCCUCUUGCCAUCGGAUGUGCCCAGAUGGGAUUAGCUAGUAGGUGGGGUAACGGCUCACCUAGGCGACGAUCCCUAGCUGGUCUGAGAGGAUGACCAGCCACACUGGAACUGAGACACGGUCCAGACUCCUACGGGAGGCAGCAGUGGGGAAUAUUGCACAAUGGGCGCAAGCCUGAUGCAGCCAUGCCGCGUGUAUGAAGAAGGCCUUCGGGUUGUAAAGUACUUUCAGCGGGGAGGAAGGGAGUAAAGUUAAUACCUUUGCUCAUUGACGUUACCCGCAGAAGAAGCACCGGCUAACUCCGUGCCAGCAGCCGCGGUAAUACGGAGGGUGCAAGCGUUAAUCGGAAUUACUGGGCGUAAAGCGCACGCAGGCGGUUUGUUAAGUCAGAUGUGAAAUCCCCGGGCUCAACCUGGGAACUGCAUCUGAUACUGGCAAGCUUGAGUCUCGUAGAGGGGGGUAGAAUUCCAGGUGUAGCGGUGAAAUGCGUAGAGAUCUGGAGGAAUACCGGUGGCGAAGGCGGCCCCCUGGACGAAGACUGACGCUCAGGUGCGAAAGCGUGGGGAGCAAACAGGAUUAGAUACCCUGGUAGUCCACGCCGUAAACGAUGUCGACUUGGAGGUUGUGCCCUUGAGGCGUGGCUUCCGGAGCUAACGCGUUAAGUCGACCGCCUGGGGAGUACGGCCGCAAGGUUAAAACUCAAAUGAAUUGACGGGGGCCCGCACAAGCGGUGGAGCAUGUGGUUUAAUUCGAUGCAACGCGAAGAACCUUACCUGGUCUUGACAUCCACGGAAGUUUUCAGAGAUGAGAAUGUGCCUUCGGGAACCGUGAGACAGGUGCUGCAUGGCUGUCGUCAGCUCGUGUUGUGAAAUGUUGGGUUAAGUCCCGCAACGAGCGCAACCCUUAUCCUUUGUUGCCAGCGGUCCGGCCGGGAACUCAAAGGAGACUGCCAGUGAUAAACUGGAGGAAGGUGGGGAUGACGUCAAGUCAUCAUGGCCCUUACGACCAGGGCUACACACGUGCUACAAUGGCGCAUACAAAGAGAAGCGACCUCGCGAGAGCAAGCGGACCUCAUAAAGUGCGUCGUAGUCCGGAUUGGAGUCUGCAACUCGACUCCAUGAAGUCGGAAUCGCUAGUAAUCGUGGAUCAGAAUGCCACGGUGAAUACGUUCCCGGGCCUUGUACACACCGCCCGUCACACCAUGGGAGUGGGUUGCAAAAGAAGUAGGUAGCUUAACCUUCGGGAGGGCGCUUACCACUUUGUGAUUCAUGACUGGGGUGAAGUCGUAACAAGGUAACCGUAGGGGAACCUGCGGUUGGAUCACCUCCUUACCUUAAAGAAGC
This 1554-nucleotide ribosomal RNA is filed under the name Escherichia coli. RNAcentral's name for it is "bacterial SSU rRNA". It matches the Rfam family "Bacterial small subunit ribosomal RNA". The record is from RNAcentral. RNAcentral also lists the same sequence under 3 other names. Lineage: Bacteria; Pseudomonadati; Pseudomonadota; Gammaproteobacteria; Enterobacterales; Enterobacteriaceae.